UUGAACGCUGGCGGCAGGCCUAACACAUGCAAGUCGAGCGGAUGAAGGGAGCUUGCUCCUGGAUUCAGCGGCGGACGGGUGAGUAAUGCCUAGGAAUCUGCCUGGUAGUGGGGGAUAACGUCCGGAAACGGGCGCUAAUACCGCAUACGUCCUGAGGGAGAAAGUGGGGGAUCUUCGGACCUCACGCUAUCAGAUGAGCCUAGGUCGGAUUAGCUAGUUGGUGGGGUAAAGGCCUACCAAGGCGACGAUCCGUAACUGGUCUGAGAGGAUGAUCAGUCACACUGGAACUGAGUCACGGUCCAGACUCCUACGGGAGGCAGCAGUGGGGAAUAUUGGACAAUGGGCGAAAGCCUGAUCCAGCCAUGCCGCGUGUGUGAAGAAGGUCUUCGGAUUGUAAAGCACUUUAAGUUGGGAGGAAGGGCAGUAAGUUAAUACCUUGCUGUUUUGACGUUACCAACAGAAUAAGCACCGGCUAACUUCGUG
Molecule: ribosomal RNA, 483 nt
Filed under: uncultured bacterium
Lineage: Bacteria
Description: partial 16S ribosomal RNA
Rfam family: Bacterial small subunit ribosomal RNA
Source: RNAcentral